GCACAGAUCACCGAAGAGGCAGCAUGUAACUUGCCCAGCUGAGAAAGGUGAUUGGCUUCUCCCUUGAGUGAAGAAGACAUGCUUCUCCUUUGCCUUGCCCAUGGGGUCUGGCACCGUGGGAUCUGGCACAAUGAUUUAUUUCCAGCAAAUACUCUGAAAGUACUUUCAUUGUGUGAGCAAGGAGCAGACACCCACGCCCAAGCCUCCCAGCACCAAUCCACAGGGCACCUCUAGCAGCUGGGGACUCUGGUGGUAAAUCUGUCUGUGAAGCCAGGUGUGGUAGCUAGAGAAUCCAAACCAGAGUUCAAAUUCGGCCUGAGCUGCAUGGCAAGAUCCUAUCUCCAAAAGGAAAAGCAAAAAUAAAAACAAAAACAAACCUGGAAUAGUUUAUUUGCUCUGAGUCGUGAGACCAAAGAGGGCAGACCCCAAGCCUGUGCGGCCCACUCUGCCCCUCGCCAUUCACCUCAUAAGGUUUUCAUGAAUAAACGGACGUUUUUAAGAAAAGUGAUUUUUCCCACGCCUUGGACAUAGGCCUUCCACCACAAGUUGUUCUUGUUUCCUCUGAAGGCCCACACCUUAGCCUGACCCCUAAGGGCACAUGAACAGGAGCCACGGCCCAAAGUGCUUCUUUGUGAGAGUGGGCAGGGGGCCAGGAUAGUAUGGAGUGCUGUGGGAAGACAAGUGGCUUCCUGGAGGAAGUGCGGAAGCGGAGUUUACGGCCUUCUCGGGAGACAGGAAGUCUGAAAGGGAAGAAGAGAACGAGGUGUCCAGUUUGAGGCCUGGAUGGUGACACUGAGGCUCAGAGGAAGUAAGAGCCUGCUGAAGACCACUGGUCAGGACCUGGUGGGCAGUUGGUGCUUUCUACAUAUGAGUGACAAGUUUGCAGGCAUGAAUGAGUUAA
Myodes glareolus (Bank vole) is the source of this 901-nucleotide non-coding RNA. The record is from RefSeq and is a predicted model, not a curated record. Lineage: Eukaryota; Metazoa; Chordata; Mammalia; Rodentia; Cricetidae.